Bradysia coprophila is the source of this 560-nucleotide long non-coding RNA. RefSeq lists it as uncharacterized. NCBI's taxonomy places the organism in Eukaryota, Metazoa, Arthropoda, Insecta, Diptera, Sciaridae. The record is from RefSeq and is a predicted model, not a curated record.
UUGGUUAGACGAACGUUAUGUGCAUAACAAAGUUAUAAUCUUCGUUUAAAAUCCAUAUCUCCAGAGACGGGUUACAUUGCAUCAGUAACUGGAAAUAUUCUCAACUUUGUGAGUUCUGUGUCCUACACUUUGCUUUCCUUUGUAAAUAUAAGUAUGAGAUUUGCAGCAAAAUUGCUAUCAAUUUCCAUUCCGAUGCAUUGAUUAUAGUUUCUCAUAGUUAACAUAAAAGUUCGUAUUAUUGGCAGUACCAAUAAUAAAUAUAUAUGCUUGAAGCCCAUCCAAUGAAAUCGUUCUAUUAGAGGCCAAGGUUAACUUAUACACCUGCAUGUGAUCCCAUGAGACUUGGUUUCAGUGUGAUUUUUGCUCUAUCCGAAUUUACUAAUUAACACAUUGGUGAAAAUGGCUGUUUUAUAUAUGUGUGGCGGAUGUUGGUACUCAAAAGCGAAAAACAAUCUCCUUAAAUACAAUCUCCUUGUCGAAAAUCCACUGAAAAAUAAUGGCUGUACGAUUUCAUGUAUGAGAACCCGAGCGAAAAAAAGACAGAAUCGAAACUGAAAAGG